RNAcentral lists this ribosomal RNA (718 nucleotides) under Prevotella heparinolytica. RNAcentral's name for it is "bacterial SSU rRNA". It matches the Rfam family "Bacterial small subunit ribosomal RNA", at positions 712 to 1435 of the family's 1533-position model. Lineage: Bacteria; Pseudomonadati; Bacteroidota; Bacteroidia; Bacteroidales; Prevotellaceae. The record is from RNAcentral.
AUUGCGAAGGCAGCUUGCUGGAGUGUAACUGACGCUGAUGCUCGAAAGUGUGGGUAUCAAACAGGAUUAGAUACCCUGGUAGUCCACACAGUAAACGAUGAAUACUCGCUGUUUGCGAUAUACUGCAAGCGGCCAAGCGAAAGCGUUAAGUAUUCCACCUGGGGAGUACGCCGGCAACGGUGAAACUCAAAGGAAUUGACGGGGGCCCGCACAAGCGGAGGAACAUGUGGUUUAAUUCGAUGAUACGCGAGGAACCUUACCCGGGCUUGAAUUGCAACUGAAUUGGCCGGAAACGGUCAAGCCGCAAGGCGGUUGUGAAGGUGCUGCAUGGUUGUCGUCAGCUCGUGCCGUGAGGUGUCGGCUUAAGUGCCAUAACGAGCGCAACCCUUAUCUACAGUUACCAUCAGGUUAUGCUGGGGACUCUGUGGAGACUGCCGUCGUAAGAUGCGAGGAAGGGGGGGAUGACGUCAAAUCAGCACGGCCCUUACGUCCGGGGCUACACACGUGUUACAAUGGGGGGUACAGCAGGCAGCUACGCGGCGACGCGCGGCUAAUCCCAAAAACCUCUCUCAGUUCGGACUGGAGUCUGCAACCCGACUCCACGAAGCUGGAUUCGCUAGUAAUCGCGCAUCAGCCACGGCGCGGUGAAUACGUUCCCGGGCCUUGUACACACCGCCCGUCAAGCCAUGAAAGCCGGGGGUACCUGAAGUGCGUAACC